CCUGGACUCUGGGAUAAGCGCUGGAAACGGCGUCUAAUACUGGAUAUGAGCUCUCAUCGCAUGGUGGGGGUUGGAAAGAUUUUUCGGUCUGGGAUGGGCUCGCGGCCUAUCAGCUUGUUGGUGAGGUAAUGGCUCACCAAGGCGUCGACGGGUAGCCGGCCUGAGAGGGUGACCGGCCACACUGGGACUGAGACACGGCCCAGACUCCUACGGGAGGCAGCAGUGGGGAAUAUUGCACAAUGGGCGGAAGCCUGAUGCAGCAACGCCGCGUGAGGGAUGACGGCCUUCGGGUUGUAAACCUCUUUUAGCAGGGAAGAAGCGAGAGUGACGGUACCUGCAGAAAAAGCGCCGGCUAACUACGUGCCAGCAGCCGCGGUAAUACGUAGGGCGCAAGCGUUAUCCGGAAUUAUUGGGCGUAAAGAGCUCGUAGGCGGUUUGUCGCGUCUGCUGUGAAAUCCCGAGGCUCAACCUC
This 472-nucleotide ribosomal RNA is filed under the name Microbacterium jejuense. Its description in RNAcentral is "bacterial SSU rRNA". It matches the Rfam family "Bacterial small subunit ribosomal RNA", at positions 130 to 616 of the family's 1533-position model. The record is from RNAcentral. Lineage: Bacteria; Bacillati; Actinomycetota; Actinomycetes; Micrococcales; Microbacteriaceae.